CAGGAUGAACGCUAGCUACAGGCUUAACACAUGCAAGUCGAGGGGCAGCGUGGUCUUAGCUUGCUAAGAUUGAUGGCGACCGGCGCACGGGUGAGUAACGCGUAUCCAACCUUCCCUAUAGUAGGGGGAUAGCCCGUAGAAAUGCGGAUUAAUACCCUAUGUUGUAUUUCGAUGACAUCUGACGAAUACCAAAGGUUCACCGCUAUAGGAUGGGGAUGCGUCUGAUUAGGUAGUCGGCGGGGUAACGGCCCACCGAGCCAGCGAUCAGUAGGGGUUCUGAGAGGAAGGUCCCCCACAUUGGAACUGAGACACGGUCCAAACUCCUACGGGAGGCAGCAGUGAGGAAUAUUGGUCAAUGGGCGAGAGCCUGAACCAGCCAAGUAGCGUGCCAGGAUGACCGGCCCUAUGGGUUGUAAACUGUCUUUUAUGCGGGGAUAAAGUGAGGGACGUGUCCCUUAUUGUAGGUACCGCAUGAAUAAGGACCGGCUAAUUCCGUGCCAGCCGCUGC
RNAcentral lists this ribosomal RNA (508 nucleotides) under uncultured bacterium. RNAcentral's name for it is "bacterial SSU rRNA". It matches the Rfam family "Bacterial small subunit ribosomal RNA", at positions 25 to 518 of the family's 1533-position model. The record is from RNAcentral.